CCUACGGGAGGCAGCAGUAGGGAAUCUUCCACAAUGGGCGAAAGCCUGAUGGAGCAACGCCGCGUGGGUGAAGAAGGUCUUCGGAUCGUAAAACCCUGUUGUUAGAGAAGAAAGUGCGUGAGAGUAACUGUUCACGUUUCGACGGUAUCUAACCAGAAAGCCACGGCUAACUACGUGCCAGCAGCCGCGGUAAUACGUAGGUGGCAAGCGUUAUCCGGAUUUAUUGGGCGUAAAGGGAACGCAGGCGGUCUUUUAAGUCUGAUGUGAAAGCCUUCGGCUUAACCGGAGUAGUGCAUUGGAAACUGGGAGACUUGAGUGCAGAAGAGGAGAGUGGAACUCCAUGUGUAGCGGUGAAAUGCGUAGAUAUUAGGAAGAACACCAGUGGCGAAGGCGGAUUACUGGACGACAACUGACGGUGAGGCGCGAAAGCGUGGGGAGCAAACAGGAUUAGAUACCCCGGUAGUC
This 465-nucleotide ribosomal RNA is filed under the name uncultured bacterium. RNAcentral describes it as "partial 16S ribosomal RNA". It matches the Rfam family "Bacterial small subunit ribosomal RNA", at positions 338 to 795 of the family's 1533-position model. The record is from RNAcentral.